GGAUCAGUGGCGAACGGGUGAGUAACACGUGAGCAACCUGCCCCUGACUCUGGGAUAAGCGCUGGAAACGGCGUCUAAUACUGGAUAUGUGACGUGACCGCAUGGUCUGCGUUUGGAAAGAUUUUUCGGUUGGGGAUGGGCUCGCGGCCUAUCAGCUUGUUGGUGAGGUAAUGGCUCACCAAGGCGUCGACGGGUAGCCGGCCUGAGAGGGUGACCGGCCACACUGGGACUGAGACACGGCCCAGACUCCUACGGGAGGCAGCAGUGGGGAAUAUUGCACAAUGGGCGAAAGCCUGAUGCAGCAACGCCGCGUGAGGGAUGACGGCCUUCGGGUUGUAAACCUCUUUUAGCAGGGAAGAAGCGAAAGUGACGGUACCUGCAGAAAAAGCGCCGGCUAACUACGUGCCAGCAGCCGCGGUAAUACGUAGGGCGCAAGCGUUAUCCGGAAUUAUUGGGCGUAAAGAGCUCGUAGGCGGUUUGUCGCGUCUGCUGUGAAAUCCCGAGGCUCAACCUCGGGCCUGCAGUGGGUACGGGCAGACUAGAGUGCGGUAGGGGAGAUUGGAAUUCCUGGUGUAGCGGUGGAAUGCGCAGAUAUCAGGAGGAACACCGAUGGCGAAGGCAGAUCUCUGGGCCGUAACUGACGCUGAGGAGCGAAAGGGUGGGGAGCAAACAGGCUUAGAUACCCUGGUAGUCCACCCCGUAAACGUUGGGAACUAGUUGUGGGGUCCAUUCCACGGAUUCCGUGACGCAGCUAACGCAUUAAGUUCCCCGCCUGGGGAGUACGGCCGCAAGGCUAAAACUCAAAGGAAUUGACGGGGACCCGCACAAGCGGCGGAGCAUGCGGAUUAAUUCGAUGCAACGCGAAGAACCUUACCAAGGCUUGACAUAUACGAGAACGGGCCAGAAAUGGUCAACUCUUUGGACACUCGUAAACAGGUGGUGCAUGGUUGUCGUCAGCUCGUGUCGUGAGAUGUUGGGUUAAGUCCCGCAACGAGCGCAACCCUCGUUCUAUGUUGCCAGCACGUAAUGGUGGGAACUCAUGGGAUACUGCCGGGGUCAACUCGGAGGAAGGUGGGGAUGACGUCAAAUCAUCAUGCCCCUUAUGUCUUGGGCUUCACGCAUGCUACAAUGGCCGGUACAAAGGGCUGCAAUACCGUGAGGUGGAGCGAAUCCCAAAAAGCCGGUCCCAGUUCGGAUUGAGGUCUGCAACUCGACCUCAUGAAGUCGGAGUCGCUAGUAAUCGCAGAUCAGCAACGCUGCGGUGAAUACGUUCCCGGGUCUUGUACACACCGCCCGUCAAGUCAUGAAAGUCGGUAACACCUGAAGCCGGUGGCCUAACCCUUGUGGAGGGAGCCGUCGAAGGUGGGAUCGGUAAUUAGGACUAAGUCGUAACAAGGUAGCCGUACCGGAAGGUGCGGCUGGAUCACCUCCUUUCUA
Molecule: ribosomal RNA, 1437 nt
Filed under: Microbacterium sp. UMB0228
Lineage: Bacteria; Bacillati; Actinomycetota; Actinomycetes; Micrococcales; Microbacteriaceae
Description: bacterial SSU rRNA
Rfam family: Bacterial small subunit ribosomal RNA
Source: RNAcentral